Bubalus bubalis (water buffalo) is the source of this 4622-nucleotide long non-coding RNA. RefSeq lists it as uncharacterized. The transcript has 3 exons. Lineage: Eukaryota; Metazoa; Chordata; Mammalia; Artiodactyla; Bovidae. The record is from RefSeq and is a predicted model, not a curated record.
AACCCACUCCAGUAUUCUUGCCUGGGAAAUCCCAUGGACAGAGGAGCCUGGCGGGCUACAGUCCAUGGGGUCACAAAGAGUCAGACACAACUGAAGUGACUUAGCACACACACACAUGAGGAAAGGCUAAUUCUCAGGGACUCCUGAAGCUCCAGUGGCGUUGGAACCUGAAACUCUGGGGACACAUAUGCCCAGGAGAAUCACUCUGUAUCAGUCUCUCUCUCUCUCAAAAAAGAAGAGGACUCACCAUGUAUCUUGAGAGGGCACCAAUCCAGUAAGUCCCCCACCUCUUUAGGAGAAACACAGAAAGGGGUUUUGAAUGCCUUCCCUCAAAGAUCAGCACCAACCGAGAAUCUAACCUGUCCAAAAAUUGCCACCUUGUAUCAACCUGUAGGGGAGCCAAGGAGUUUACAUUGCCAGGGCCAAGAUCUUACACUUCUUUGUGGGGAUUAAUAAAUGAUCAGUUCUCAAAGAAUUAAGCGAAGAUAAUUUGGUUUGAAAAAAUUUAAAAGUGGUAUCAAUCACUGCCCAUAGCAAAAUAUUGUUCAUUUCAGUUCAGUCGCUCAAUCGUGUCCAACUCUUUGCGACCCCAUGCAUCGCAGCAGGCCAGGCCUCCUGGUCCAUCACCAACUUGUUAGCAUAGACUUAAUGGGAUUGACGGUGUAUCCCUGGAAAUUGACCAGAGCAAACUGGUUGCAAAAUAUGGAUCUAGUUACUUAAAAACUGGUGCAUUGCAAGGUACAGAGUUCAGUUAAGUAAUGUCAAAUAUAAAGAAACUUGUGCAUUUUAAAUUAUAUUUAGUGCAUUUUAAUGCACUAAAGCUUCAUUUAAAAUUUUCCAGUUUUACCACUUAAGUUACUGGUAGUGCCUAAUUCAGAUAAUUAUGGUCAUAAUAUAAUUACUAAUAAAAUUCCUAACAAAGCCAGCAUAAAGGAAUACAUUGUAGCCUAGAUGUGAUAAAGUACUAUUAUAUGUUAAAAUAAUGUCAGAUACCCAUGUGUUGUUACAUAUUCUUUCAUAAAUAUUCUCAAGAAUUGUAGUUUUACCUUAGCCUAUGAAGCACAAGUCAAUUUGUUAUUCUUAUCUGAUUGAAGCAAAAAGAGAUAUGAAUAAUUAAGUUGGCUUCUUAGCUUAAUUGUAGUUGAUUUUGUAGAAGAAACAGUUUUCUUUUUAAUUAUAUUUAGCUAGAAGCCCUCAUUUUUUUUGCCAUAUUUAACCAAAGGCUGGAGACAGUCUUCAUAGGUACUAGAUGCCAGGGAAAUACAAGUUAAGACUAAAGAUUUGCUGUAGAUGAUUCAAAUAAGGGUAUUCUAGAAUCAAAUAAAAUUUAAAACUGAACAUUUAAUUUGGUCAAUAUGUCUUUAACUGUCCUGUAGAUUAACGAUAUAAAUUCUCCAAAUCUGACAUUGUUUUCCUAUUAUAACAUCAUUAAAUCACAAGGUUAAAGUUGUCCUUUGUAAAUAUUGCUGACUUAUUCUCAACUUUUAGGAACUAUGUCAUCACAGUUAAAAUUUGCACUGAUGUACACAAAUGAAGAAACUAAUAUUUUUGGAUUUAUGCUUAACUUUGCUGAAAACAAUGCUGUUUUACAAAACUUUAGCCUUGUUUUCAUAGAUCAGAGUUUUCAAACUCAGUUUCUAUGAAAAAUCCUUAAACGGUCAGAGGUGUGUGUUUAGCACAGAAACUAACUCCUUGGAUAGACUUUCUGAAUAUUAGCUUCAUGCCACCCAAAAUAUUUUUCUAAAGCCUUUGUGACCUCCUGUUUUCUUUCACUGUUAAGGUUUUGUAGGUACUUGAAAUCUACUGUCCAAAUGCUUUCAUGCCAACAAAUAGCAAGUAAUAGAAAAACACAAAUUGCAGCUUAUACUUAAAUGUAUUUUUUUUUAAUAUACAUGGGUUAGGGUACAUGAUUUUAUAUAAUUUACUAUGGUGAUAGUUUCUACUAGAUAAAUUGUCCUAAGUUCAUCUGAUUACAUAAAUAUUUCAUGGUGUUUCAUAUUGAUAAGGUUAGUUUCAAGUUCUUUUGUCCCUUAGAUUGUUUUUAAAUCACUGAUGAAUUAAAAAGUUCAUUACAUCUUUGUGUAUGGUUCAAAAUUACAUCUUUGUGUAUGGUCCUGUAUAGCUUAUUUCCUAAUUAAGGCAGAAUUGUGUUUUUGUUUUGUUUUGUUUUUUAAGCAAUUAAAAUGAAGAAAAUACAAAAUUAUGAAGAGAUAAUUUGUAGAUUUGUUAAAUGUUCUGUUCUCUAAUCUUGUGUUGAGGUUUGAUGAAUUUUGUAACUUAAAUACUUAUAAAGGAGUGGAAAGAUUCCAGAUUGUUACUCAAAAUUCUAUUCAUGGGAUCUGUUGUCUUGGAUGUUGCUUUAAUAAACAUGCAGAGUUGGAGAACUGUCUAUAAAUAGUGUUUCCUGGGCUAAUAUUAACUUUUUUGACAAUGAGAGAUACAUGAAAUUUUGGGUUGGGACAUAGAGAACAUCUUAGAGUUACUGCUUUUUCCAGCUGGAGAUUAAGGUUGGAAGAUAGAGGUGCAAAGUCUGGGAGGACCAGUCCCUUUCAUCUGGGAGCCUGGAUUUAUUGCCUUGAAGGAAGUGCGUGUAUCAUGCUUCAGAGGCUGUGUGAUGAUACACCGUAAGAUAGGGAUCCCUUUGGAUAAUACAGAGGCUCAAUUCCUUUGGGUUUCUUAUCCCUUAUUUUACCUAACUCUGCCCAGGGCCCAGAAUGGACUCCAAAUCUGUGACCUGUGUUUAGCAGGCAAGAAAAGACAUCCCCAAAUUGUUUAGCUUCUCUGGUUUAUGUUAGUUACAAUUUUAUAAAGUCAUCAGAGUGCUUAUGAUGUUUAAGGAUGCCUAAUAAUCACGGAGACCUGUCUGUAAAGUCAGAGUGUCACUGGGAACCCUCAGGUGUACUGAAGCAGUGGUCUGGGGCAAGUCUCAGGAGAGACUUCUGCAGUUGAGAAUUCUCACUGGGUGGCUUGGAGCUGGCAAGAUUGCAUGUAUUAAACACUAUGGCUUUUUAUAGUGGCUGUUGGAAAACUGAUCAUCAGGAGAAAAUGAACAGGCGUUUCUAUAUUAUGUGCUACGAAUGAAUCCUAUUUUAGUGCUUUUCACCGAGGGGUUUAUACCACACAAAAAAUACAUGUAGGGCAUUUAUUUUUGGCAGCUUUCACAAAAAUUGUGGUGAUGGUUGCCUAUGAACAUUUUCUUACACAUCAUUAGAGAAUAGAUUCCAGAAACUUCCUGGAAAUAAUUACUCCAAGUUUAACAUUGCUUUGAUUUAAAAUGCAGUUUUGUAUAGUUUUAAAAUGCAAAUUUUAGAAGAUGGGACCUCGGCUAAAAUUUCAUUCUGGAAGUCUUAUUUAAUGGGUUUAUUUAAUAUUAAUUAAUUAUCUUAUUUAAUAGAUACCAAUACCAUAAAACUUGAUAAAUCUAUGUGUGUCAACACUGAUUUAAGGGAAGUAGGAGAAAUGUGACUCAACUAAGAUAUUAUGAGACAAAAAUAAACUAUACAGAACUGUUUGGCUGCUUGGUACUAACAUAACUAGUUAGAAAAUAAUGAUGUUUGCUAUUCUUUAUUAGCUUAUUUCACUUUUAUUUUAAAUCAUUUAAUAUUUUUUAUUGAUAGAUUAUUCAAAAUUGACAUUUAAAGAGUAUUAAAGAAACAGUAUCCUUUUAUAUUUUUCCUUCUCAUACAUAACCAUAGUCAUGGUUUUCCUUAAUAUGCGAUCCAGAAUAUAAUUUGCAAUUUAUGCUUUGAUUUAUUUUCAGCUUUUUGCUUAGAUUGUGCCUGAUAUAUUUCAUUAUUUUAAGAAAUGUAUCAAGGUCAGGAGUUCUUUUAAAGUUAGGAACAAUAACAAAAACAACAUGCUAACUUGUAAACCCAAUGGACAUGAAAAUAAUACUCUAAAAAGCAAAUGUUAUGUGUGCCUUUAAAAGUAUAAAGCAAUCAUUCUGGAUCGAUAAACUGCUAGUUUGAGUCAGAUUGGACUUACAGUUUUUUUUUUCUGAUACUACCCCAAAGAAGGCUCUAUUCACCUUGCUUUAAAUUAUACAAACAAAUAACACAAAUGGACAGUUAAAGUGAAUAUUUUGUGCUUUAAAGAAGACUAAUAUUUUAUGCUAUAAAGGCAUGAUCCAAAAGAGAAGUAAUAAAAUCAUCUCUUCCCUUACCUCUGGGAUUUCUAGGCUGGUCGAACCCUGACCAUUACUAGUAGUGUUUCAAGUUUCUUCCAUUUACUUUCAUUGUACUGGGUUAUUUGUAUCUUCAAGUGAAAUGGCUGAGCUUUCCCUCUAACUCCUGUUGCUAUUGACAACCAAAGCAGCCAUGCAAGAAGAAAAUGCUGUGGAAGGAAAAGAAAAAAAAAACUUUAAUAUUUCCUUCUCAAAGUUGGAGAGAAAAGGGAAACACAGUAUGUAAGAAACAGAUAUUUUGUCCAAUACUCAUGUAAAUAAAAGGAUACUGUCUCUUGGAACCAAACAUUAAUAUUCUGAAGAUUAAAAAUUGGAUUGCAAGAAAAGCACUGAAAGUUGCAAAUAUGUAAGUCUCCGGGAAUGUAACAAGUUGAUAAAUACCCAAGUCCAGCCUCCUUACAGAGAAAAGAUCUGGAAUUUCUUUUUUUGGACAUUUGUU